AGUGAACGCUGGCGGUAGGCCUAACACAUGCAAGUCGAACGGCAGCACAGUAAGAGCUUGCUCUUACGGGUGGCGAGUGGCGGACGGGUGAGGAAUACAUCGGAAUCUACUUUUUCGUGGGGGAUAACGUAGGGAAACUUACGCUAAUACCGCAUACGACCUACGGGUGAAAGCAGUGGAUCUUCGGACCUUGCGCGAUUGAAUGAGCCGAUGUCGGAUUAGCUAGUUGGCGGGGUAAAGGCCCACCAAGGCGACGAUCCGUAGCUGGUCUGAGAGGAUGAUCAGCCACACUGGAACUGAACCACGGUCCAGACUCCUACGGGAGGCAGCAGUGGGGAAUAUUGGACAAUGGGCGCAAGCCUGAUCCAGCCAUACCGCGUGGGUGAAGAAGGCCUUCGGGUUGUAAAGCCCUUUUGUUGGGAAAGAAAAGCAGCAGGUUAAUACCCCGCUGUUCUGACGGUACCCAAAGAAUAAGCACCGGCUAACUUCGUG
RNAcentral lists this ribosomal RNA (492 nucleotides) under uncultured bacterium. RNAcentral describes it as "partial 16S ribosomal RNA". It matches the Rfam family "Bacterial small subunit ribosomal RNA", at positions 29 to 507 of the family's 1533-position model. The record is from RNAcentral.